RNAcentral lists this ribosomal RNA (573 nucleotides) under Lactobacillus sp. 1311_H05. RNAcentral's name for it is "bacterial SSU rRNA". It matches the Rfam family "Bacterial small subunit ribosomal RNA", at positions 94 to 653 of the family's 1533-position model. The record is from RNAcentral. Lineage: Bacteria; Bacillati; Bacillota; Bacilli; Lactobacillales; Lactobacillaceae.
AGUGGCGAACGGGUGAGUAACACGUAGGCAACCUGCCCAAAAGAGGGGGAUAACACUUGGAAACAGGUGCUAAUACCGCAUAACCAUGAACACCGCAUGAUGUUCAUGUAAAAGACGGCUUUUGCUGUCACUUUUGGAUGGGCCUGCGGCGUAUUAACUUGUUGGUGGGGUAACGGCCUACCAAGGUGAUGAUACGUAGCCGAACUGAGAGGUUGAUCGGCCACAUUGGGACUGAGACACGGCCCAAACUCCUACGGGAGGCAGCAGUAGGGAAUCUUCCACAAUGGACGAAAGUCUGAUGGAGCAACGCCGCGUGAAUGAAGAAGGCCUUCGGGUCGUAAAAUUCUGUUGUCAGAGAAGAACGUGCGUGAGAGUAACUGUUCACGUAUUGACGGUAUCUGACCAGAAAGCCACGGCUAACUACGUGCCAGCAGCCGCGGUAAUACGUAGGUGGCGAGCGUUGUCCGGAUUUAUUGGGCGUAAAGGGAACGCAGGCGGUCUUUUAAGUCUGAUGUGAAAGCCUUCGGCUUAACCGAAGUAGUGCAUUGGAAACUGGAAGACUUGAGUGCAGAA